This is a long non-coding RNA of Pezoporus flaviventris, 481 nucleotides long. RefSeq lists it as uncharacterized. Lineage: Eukaryota; Metazoa; Chordata; Aves; Psittaciformes; Psittacidae. The transcript is spliced from 3 exons. The record is from RefSeq and is a predicted model, not a curated record.
CUACUAUGGAUCCCAGAGGCCAUUUCUCUGUUGUUUGUUUGCUCUGUGAGCAGUUUGUUUCUACAUAGCUGGAGCUUAGAUUCAUCCAGAAGGCAGCCAACUCUUCAAAUACAGAGAUAUUAUAGUGUCCUGAUUACAGAAGUACUUCUGGGCUAAGCCCUCAGUACUGAGAAAAAGAGAAUGGAGCUGCUUUGACAAUCAAUACAUAAAGCAGAUUUUACAAGACUCAGGCUUUAGACUUCCUUGUUUUAAACUCUCAGGCUUGGAAAAAGCCCACACAAAGUCCUAAAAGGGACACAGUUCUUUGAAGCUCUCUUGACACUUUAGCCGAUAUAAAAUGAGGGACUGUGUCAUGGAAAGAAGCAAUUGUGAAAAUCACUAAACCUGCAUAUCCUUGACAGUGCUGUAGCAAGAGGUAAUAAAGUGGUAAUCAUUGGAUGUUAUAAAUCAGCAGAGUGAGUAGGAAAAGUAAAAUGAUUUG